UACGUAGGGUGCGAGCGUUGCCCGGAUUUAUUGGGCGUAAAGGGCGCGUAGGCGGCUCUGCACGUCCGUUGUGAAAUCGCCCGGCUCAACUGGGCGGGGUCAGCGGAUACGGCGGAGCUUGAGCAAGCUAGGGGGCAAUGGAAUUCCCGGUGUAGUGGUGGAAUGCGUAGAUAUCGGAAAGAACACCAACGGCGAAAGCACUCUGCUGGGCCGACACUGACACUGAGAGACGAAAGCUAGGGGAGCGAAUGGG
Molecule: ribosomal RNA, 253 nt
Filed under: uncultured bacterium
Lineage: Bacteria
Description: partial 16S ribosomal RNA
Rfam family: Bacterial small subunit ribosomal RNA
Source: RNAcentral